This 773-nucleotide ribosomal RNA is filed under the name Lagenodelphis hosei (Fraser's dolphin). RNAcentral's name for it is "partial 16S ribosomal RNA". It matches the Rfam family "Bacterial large subunit ribosomal RNA", at positions 1460 to 2563 of the family's 2925-position model. The record is from RNAcentral. Lineage: Eukaryota; Metazoa; Chordata; Mammalia; Artiodactyla; Delphinidae.
ACUCCUAGCCUGACUAUUGGACUAAUCUAUUUAACUAUAGAAGAAAUACUGUUAAUAUGAGUAACAAGAAAAUUUUUCUCCUUGCACAAGCUUAUAUCAGUAACUGAUAAUAUACUGAUAGUUAACAACUAAUAAAUAUAACCUAACACUAAACUAUUUAUUAAUCGUACUGUUAAUCCAACACAGGUGUGCACCAAGGAAAGAUUAAAAAGAGUAAAAGGAACUCGGCAAACACAAACCCCGCCUGUUUACCAAAAACAUCACCUCUAGCAUAACUAGUAUUAGAGGCACUGCCUGCCCAGUGACAAUCGUUAAACGGCCGCGGUAUCUUGACCGUGCAAAGGUAGCAUAAUCACUUGUUCUCUAAAUAAGGACUUGUAUGAAUGGCCACACGAGGGUUUUACUGUCUCUUACUCUUAAUCAGUGAAAUUGACCUCCCCGUGAAGAGGCGGGGAUAAUACAAUAAGACGAGAAGACCCUAUGGAGCUUUAAUUAAUCAACUCAAAAAGCAUAAAAUAAUACCACCAAGGGAUAACAAAGCUUUACAUGAGCUGACAAUUUCGGUUGGGGUGACCUCGGAGUAUAAAAAACCCUCCGAGUGAUUAAAACUUAGGCUUACCGGCCAAAGUAUAGUAUCACUUAUUGAUCCAAAAUUUUGAUCAACGGAACAAGUUACCCUAGGGAUAACAGCGCAAUCCUAUUCUAGAGUCCAUAUCGACAAUAGGGUUUACGACCUCGAUGUUGGAUCAGGACAUCCUAAUGGUGCAGCAGCU